GAUGCAGUGAGAGGCACAUUCUGAAUACGUGUGGUAAAAUCUACCCUCUCACUGGUCUAGUAUUUUUGUUCAGCGGAGUUUUGGUGGAAGCGAAGUUCCCUGAGAUUACUUUUUUCUGACUAGCAGUUGGGGGACGAGACUUGGCCAAUCCCCACCCAGAUCUUCAUGAUUUCUAUUGUGCCUGAAGCUGUGACUUCAUCACACGCAUCACCUAGGAGGUGAGAGAGCCAGGGCACAGAAUUCCGUGUCCUCAGUCUUGCUCAGAUGCAGGUAUUCUCUGCACAGUGCUGUCCAUAAGGAUAAAGAAAACAAUGACAUAAAGAUGGAUCAUCUAGGAAGGCCAGGCUGUCUCCUGGAGUCACCAAGGAGAGGAGUUCUCAGAGGGAAGGAAGAUGAUAUGAGAGAAGAUCCCCCACUAUUUGUGAGGGUAGCAAGAGAGCCCAAGGAUUCUGAGGCUGAGAUCUGUGCCCCUGGGCCAUUAGUUUGAGUGUGGCUAAUGCUAUAAGGAGUCCUGUGACAUCCUAUCCCAGAUGGGGGAGGUCUUUUGAGACCCUCAUUGUCUGU
Long non-coding RNA from Hippopotamus amphibius kiboko, 564 nucleotides. RefSeq lists it as uncharacterized. The record is from RefSeq and is a predicted model, not a curated record. The transcript is spliced from 3 exons. Lineage: Eukaryota; Metazoa; Chordata; Mammalia; Artiodactyla; Hippopotamidae.